GCGGGAUUAGUUGAGCGGUUCAACGCAACCUUCCCAAGGUUGUAAGGCGGGUUCGACUCCCGUAUCCCGCU
This 71-nucleotide transfer RNA is filed under the name Parcubacteria group bacterium CG08_land_8_20_14_0_20_43_9. Its description in RNAcentral is "tRNA-Gly". It matches the Rfam family "tRNA". Rfam says of the family: Transfer RNA (tRNA) molecules are approximately 80 nucleotides in length. Their secondary structure includes four short double-helical elements and three loops (D, anti-codon, and T loops). Further hydrogen bonds mediate the characteristic L-shaped molecular structure. tRNAs have two regions of fundamental functional importance: the anti-codon, which is responsible for specific mRNA codon recognition, and the 3' end, to which the tRNAs corresponding amino acid is attached (by aminoacyl-tRNA synthetases). tRNAs cope with the degeneracy of the genetic code in two manners: having more than one tRNA (with a specific anti-codon) for a particular amino acid; and 'wobble' base-pairing, i.e. permitting non-standard base-pairing at the 3rd anti-codon position. The record is from RNAcentral.